RNAcentral lists this ribosomal RNA (748 nucleotides) under Pseudomonas sp. RNAcentral's name for it is "bacterial SSU rRNA". It matches the Rfam family "Bacterial small subunit ribosomal RNA", at positions 97 to 840 of the family's 1533-position model. The record is from RNAcentral. Lineage: Bacteria; Pseudomonadati; Pseudomonadota; Gammaproteobacteria; Pseudomonadales; Pseudomonadaceae.
GGCGGACGGGUUGAGUAAUGCCUAGGAAUCUGCCUGGUAGUGGGGGAUAACGCUCGGAAACGGACGCUAAUACCGCAUACGUCCUACGGGAGAAAGCAGGGGACCUUCGGGCCUUGCGCUAUCAGAUGAGCCUAGGUCGGAUUAGCUAGUUGGUGGGGUAAUGGCUCACCAAGGCGACGAUCCGUAACUGGUCUGAGAGGAUGAUCAGUCACACUGGAACUGAGACACGGUCCAGACUCCUACGGGAGGCAGCAGUGGGGAAUAUUGGACAAUGGGCGAAAGCCUGAUCCAGCCAUGCCGCGUGUGUGAAGAAGGUCUUCGGAUUGUAAAGCACUUUAAGUUGGGAGGAAGGGCAGUAACCUAAUACGUUGCUGUCUUGACGUUACCGACAGAAUAAGCACCGGCUAACUCUGUGCCAGCAGCCGCGGUAAUACAGAGGGUGCAAGCGUUAAUCGGAAUUACUGGGCGUAAAGCGCGCGUAGGUGGUUUGUUAAGUUGGAUGUGAAAUCCCCGGGCUCAACCUGGGAACUGCAUUCAAAACUGACAAGCUAGAGUAUGGUAGAGGGUGGUGGAAUUUCCUGUGUAGCGGUGAAAUGCGUAGAUAUAGGAAGGAACACCAGUGGCGAAGGCGACCACCUGGACUGAUACUGACACUGAGGUGCGAAAGCGUGGGGAGCAAACAGGAUUANAUACCCUGGUAGUCCACGCCGUAAACGAUGUCAACUANCCGUUGGAANCUUGANCUCUU